Molecule: ribosomal RNA, 1942 nt
Filed under: human gut metagenome
Description: bacterial LSU rRNA
Rfam family: Bacterial large subunit ribosomal RNA
Source: RNAcentral
UAAAGCAAGAAAGGGCGUAUGGGGAAUGCCUAGGCACACUCCGGCGAAGAAGGACGCAGCAAACAGCGAAAUGCGACGGUGAGCGGUAAGCACGUGAAGAGCCGUCGAUAUCCGAAUGGGGGAACCCACACGGAGUCAUAUCCGUGUAUCACAUGUCGAAUACAUAGACAUGAUGAGGCGAGACGCAGGGAACUGAAACAUCUAAGUACCUGCAGGAAGAGAAAAUAAGAAUGAUUUUCUGAGUAGCGGCGAGCGAAAGGGAAAGAGCCCAAACCGAUCUGAGGAUCGGGGUAGUAGGAUCAUCGAUAAAUCAAACAGAGGAUCAUAGAGGAAUCACAUGGGAAGGUGAGCGAGAGAGGGUGAGAGCCCCGUACUCGAAAUGAGAGACUGGAGAGAGAUGACACCUGAGUAGGGCGGGACACGAGAAAUCCUGUCUGAAUCAGCCGGGACCAUCCGGCAAGGCUAAAUACGAGAGAGUGACCGAUAGUGAACCAGUACCGUGAGGGAAAGGUGAAAAGAACCCCGGGAGGGGAGUGAAAGAGAACCUGAAACCAUAUGCCUACAAGAAGUCAGAGCCCGUUAAAGGGUGAUGGCGUGCCUUUUGUAGAAUGAACCGGCGAGUUACUGUAUGGAGCGAGGUUAAGCAGGAUAUGCGGAGCCGAAGCGAAAGCGAGUCUUAAGAGGGCGCGAGUUGCAUGCAGUAGACCCGAAACCGGGUGAUCUAGCCAUGACCAGGUUGAAGUUGGGGUAAAACCCGAUGGAGGACCGAACCGACCCCCGUUGAAACGUUGGCGGAUGAGUUGUGGCUAGGGGUGAAAUUCCAAUCGAACCCGGAGAUAGCUGGUUCUCCCCGAAAUAGCUUUAGGGCUAGCGUCGAGAGAAGAGUUGCGUGAAGGUAGAGCACUGAAUAUGUGAUGGCCCCAUCUCGGGGUACUGAGCAUAAUCAAACUGCGAAUGUCACGCCAACAUGCUCGGCAGUCAGACAGCGGGUGAUAAGGUCCGUUGUCAAGAGGGAAACAGCCCAGACCAUCAGCUAAGGUCCCAAAAUGUAUGCUAAGUGGAAAAGGAUGUGGAGAUGUACAGACAACUAGGAGGUUGGCUCAGAAGCAGCCAUCCUUUAAAGAGUGCGUAACAGCUCACUAGUCGAAUGACUCUGCGCCGAUAAUUUACCGGGGCUAAGCAUACUACCGAAGCUAUGGAUCCCAAGGGAUGGUAGGGGAGCGUUCCAUGAACGGAGAAGUACGACCGAAAGGACGUGUGGAGAUCAUGGAAGAGAGAAUGCCGGUGUGAGUAGCGGAACGUGGGUGAGAAUCCCACGCACCGAAAACCCAAGGUUUCCAGAGGAAGGUUCGUCCGCUCUGGGUAAGUCGGGACCUAAGGCGAGGCCGAAAGGCGUAGUCGAUGGACAACAGGUAGAGAUUCCUGUACCCGUAUAUAUGUGAAGGAAUGACGGAGAGAGGAAGCUGCAGCCAGCGGCUGGAAGAGCUGGUGCAAGCGAGAUAUCGGGAUGGCAGGCAAAUCCACCAUCCGAAACGAGAAGGCGUGAAGCGUACGGAAAGCUACGGCGAGUACGGAAGGCAGUGGAGGAACUUCCAAGAAAAGUUUCUAACGUUAAGUAUAUAUGGCCCGUACCGAAAAUGGACACACAUGGGUGAGGAGAGAAUCCUAAGGUGAGCGAGAGAACUAUAGCUAAGGAACUCUGCAAAAUGACUCCGUAACUUAGGGAGAAGGAGUGCUCAUAGAGAUAUGAGCCGCAGUGAAACGGCCCAAGCGACUGUUUACCAAAAACACAGCUCUCUGCUAAGCCGCAAGGCGAAGUAUAGGGGGUGACGCCUGCCCGGUGCUGGAAGGUUAAGGGGAGGGGUUAACGCAAGUGAAGCCCUGAACUGAAGCCCCAGUAAACGGCGGCCGUAACUAUAACGGUCCUAAGGUAGCGAAAUUC